GGGCGCACGCGCGCUACACUGACGGAGCCAGCGAGCAUAAUCCUUGGCCGAGAGGUCUGGGUAAUCUUGUUAAACUCCGUCGUGCUGGGGAUAGAGCAUUGUAAUUAUUGCUCUUCAACGAGGAAUUCCUAGUAAGCGCAAGUCAUCAGCUUGCGUUGAAUACGUUUC
Molecule: ribosomal RNA, 168 nt
Filed under: Groenewaldozyma auringiensis
Lineage: Eukaryota; Fungi; Ascomycota; Dipodascomycetes; Dipodascales; Trichomonascaceae
Description: partial 18S rRNA
Rfam family: Eukaryotic small subunit ribosomal RNA
Source: RNAcentral